RNAcentral lists this long non-coding RNA (252 nucleotides) under Elaeis guineensis (African oil palm). RNAcentral describes it as "long non-coding RNA (EGUI_LNC028018)". The record is from RNAcentral. Lineage: Eukaryota; Viridiplantae; Streptophyta; Magnoliopsida; Arecales; Arecaceae.
GAUCAAUUUUAAAUCAUUCAAACUUUUAGAUCUAAAUAAAAAUCAGAUUAUACAUGUCAUAAAAAAUUUGGCUCUGAUAUCACUGUUAGAAAAUGGGUAGGGUUGCAUAUAUAUAUUUCAAAAUUAAUUUUAAAAUAGUGAAAAUAGAUCUAGGUUAAAUCUUUUAACCCCAUUUGUAAUAGAUCAUAUCUAAUUCUACCUAUGCCUAGAUCAACGACAUGCAUAUAAUGUAAAAAUAAAAAUAAAGUAUUA